Molecule: RNA transcript, 3715 nt
Organism: Pan troglodytes (chimpanzee)
Lineage: Eukaryota; Metazoa; Chordata; Mammalia; Primates; Hominidae
Gene name: cytosolic phospholipase A2 beta-like
Exons: 20
Source: RefSeq, a predicted model, not a curated record
CAGCUGCUGCCCUGAGGCCCUGGAAGCAAGUGGCUCCUCCAUGCUCCUCUGACUCAGUUGCCUGGAGUGUGAGGGCCCUGGGCUGACCCUGGUGGAUGAGGCCCUCCAGCACUGCCCUGGACCUGGUUGCUCCCUGGACUUGACCUGUUAGGGUCCUUGCGGAGGCAGGUGGAAGGCCGAAAGGAAGCAGUUGGCACAGGCUUCCCUGGUCCCGGUGCGCCUGCCAGGCUGCAUUCCCAGAACCAGGGGCAUGGGUUUGGAGGGAGCUACCAGGGGACCAUCUUCAGCCUGACCUGGCAGGACCUGGAGGACAUGACAGCCUGUGAGGGGUCUGAGCUAGGAGCCGCCUCCCCUGCCCAGGAGAGAGCCCAUUUCCAGGAUGCUCUUCUGACCAGGGUGGAGGGAGGGUAUGAGAGCAGCUCAGCCUGGGGCCCAAGGCCCUGAUGUGCUACUUCCCCUCCCUCGAUAGCUUAUGUCCCCUGCCACCCAAGACCAGCCGGAAAGCUGCUUAGCUGGGGUGUGGGCUGGGGAUGUGGGGUGGAGAGCCUAAAGGAUACUAGCCCGAGAAGGUGGAAGCAGGUCUGUGUGAGGCAUAAAUAUGGAGCCAGCCUGCCCGGGCUCCAACCCCAAUUGUGGACCUCAGGCAAGUGACUGCUUCUCUGUGCCUCAGUUUCCUUGUGGAGUGGGCCAUCGUAAAUAGUAUCUGUGCAUAAGGUGGUUGUGCGAUAAAUGAGUUAAUGUAUGCAAAGCCCUUGGCCCAGAGCCGGCGCAGAGCAUCGUGUAAGUGCUGGCAGGCGUCGUGAUGGAGAUAUCAUGUCUCCUCUUGUUGAUUCAGGAUUCUGAUGAGAUGGAGGAUGGGCCUGGGGUUCAGGAUUAGGCCUUGAGGCACUGCUCCAGCCUCCUUUGUGGCCCCUGUCACCCUUGGCUUCAUCAGCCCGUAGCAGGUCUCCCCUCUCCCACCUCUGCAGGCAGAGGAGUCCAGGACCUGCCUGCUCACGGUUUGUGUCCUGCAGGCCCAUCACCUACCCUCUAAGGACCUAGUGACCCCCUCUGACUGCUACGUGGCUCUCUGGCUGCCCAUGGCCUGCAGCCACAGGCUCCAGACACGCACGGUCAAGAACAGCAGUAGCCCUGUCUGGAACCAGAGCUUUCACUUCAGGAUCCACAGGCAGCUCAAGCCCUGUCACUCGUUUCCCCUCCAGAAUGUCAUGGAACUGAAAGUCUUUGACCAGGACCUGGUGACCGGAGAUGACCCUGUGUUGUCAGUACUGUUUGAUGUGGGGACUCUGCGGGCUGGGGAGUUCCGGCGUGAGAGCUUCUCACUGAGCCCUCAGGGUGAGGGGCGCCUGGAAGUUGAAUUUCACCUGCAGAGUCUGGCUGACCGUGGCGAGUGGCUCGUCAGCAAUGGCAUUCUGGUGGCCCGGGAGCUCUCCUGCUUGCACGUUCAACUGGAGGAGACAGGAGACCAGAAGUCCUCAGAGCACAGAGUUCAGCUUGUGGUUCCUGGGUCCUGUGAGGGUUCGCAGGAGGCCUCUGUGGGCACUGGCACCUUCCGCUUCCACUGCCCAGCCUGCUGGGAGCAGGAGCUGUGUAUUCACCUGCAGGAUGCCCCCGAGGAGCAACUAAAGGUGCCACUGAGUGCCCUGCCCUCUGGUCAAGUGGUGAGGCUUGUCUUCCCCACGUCCCAGGAGCCCCUGAUGAGAGUGGAGCUGAAAAAAGAAGCAGGACUGAGGGAGCUGGCCGUGCGACUGGGCUUCGGGCCCUGUGCAGAGGAGCAGGCCUUCCUGAGCAGGAGGAAGCAGGUGGUGGCCGCGGCCUUGAGGCAGGCCCUGCAGCUGGACGGAGACCUGCAGGAGGAUGAGAUCCCAGUGGUAGCUAUUAUGGCCACUGGUGGUGGGAUCCGGGCAAUGACUUCCCUGUAUGGGCAGCUGGCUGGCCUGAAGGAGCUGGGCCUCUUGGAUUGCGUCUCCUACAUCACCGGGGCCUCGGGCUCCACCUCGGCCUUGGCCAACCUUUCUGAGGACCCAGAGUGGUCUCAGAAGGACCUGGCAGGGCCCACUGAGUUGCUGAAGACCCAGGUGACCAAGAACAAGCUGGGUGUGCUGGCCCCCAGCCAGCUGCAGCGGUACCGGCAGGAGCUGGCCGAGCGUGCCCGCUUGGGCUACCCAAGCUGCUUCACCAACCUGUGGGCCCUCAUCAACGAGGCGCUGCUGCAUGAUGAGCCCCAUGAUCACAAGCUCUCAGAUCAACGGGAGGCCCUGAGUCAUGGCCAGAACCCUCUGCCCAUCUACUGUGCCCUCAACACCAAAGGGCAGAGCCUGACCACUUUGGAAUUUGGGGAGUGGUGCGAGUUCUCUCCCUACGAGGUCGGCUUCCCCAAGUACGGGGCCUUCAUCCCCUCUGAGCUCUUUGGCUCCGAGUUCUUUAUGGGGCAGCUGAUGAAGAGGCUUCCUGACUCCCGCAUCUGCUGCUUAGAAGGUAUCUGGAGCAACCUGUAUGCAGCCAACCUCCAGGACAGCUUAUACUGGGCCUCAGAGCCCAGCCAGUUCUGGGACCGCUGGGUCAGGAACCAGGCCAACCUGGACAAGGAGCAGGUCCCCCUUCUGAAGAUAGAAGAACCACCCUCAACAGCCGGCAGGAUAGCUGAGUUUUUCACCGAUCUUCUGACGUGGCGUCCACUGGCCCAGGCCACACAUAAUUUCCUGUGUGGCCUCCAUUUCCACAAAGACUACUUUCAGCAUCCUCACUUCUCCACAUGGAAAGCUACCACUCUGGAUGGGCUCCCCAACCAGCUGACACCCUCGGAGCCCCACCUGUGCCUGCUGGAUGUUGGCUACCUCCUCAAUACCAGCUGCCUGCCCCUCCUGCAGCCCACUCGGGACGUGGACCUCAUCCUGUCAUUGGACUACAACCUCCACGGAGCCUUCCAGCUUCCUUUAGGAGCUGUGACUGGGACACUGGAAUCUUAAUUUGCCACCAGAGGAGCUCAUUCUUUUCCGGAAGUUGGGAAGCUGGCGAGGUUCUCCUGGUAUCUUCAGUUGCAGCUCCUGGGCCGGUUCUGCCAAGAGCAGGGGAUCCCGUUCCCGCCCAGUCCCGAAGAGCAGCUCCAGCCUCGGGAGUGCCACACCUUCUCCGACCCCACCUGCCCCGGAGCCCCCGCGGUGCUGCACUUUCCUCUGGUCAGCGACUCCUUCCGGGAGUACUUGGCCCCUGGGGUCCGGCGGACACCCGAGGAGGCGGCAGCUGGGGAGGUGAACCUGUCUUCAUCGGACUAUCCCUACCACUACACGAAGGUGACCUACAGCCAGGAGGACGUGGACAAGCUCCUGCACCUGACACAUUACAAUGUCUGCAACAACCAGGAGCAGCUGCUGGAGGCUCUGCGCCAGGCAGUGCAGCGGAGGCGGCAGCGCAGGCCCCACUGAUGGCCGGGGCCCCUGCCACCCCUAACUAACUCUCAUUCAUUCCCUGGCUGCUGAGUUGCAGAUGGGAACUGUCAUCACGCAGUGCUUCAGAGCCUCGGGCUCAGGUGGCACUGUCCCAGGGUCCAGGCUGAGGGCUGGGAGCUCCCUUGCGCCUCAGCAGUUUGCAGUGGGGUAAGGAGGCCAAGCCCAUUUGUGUAAUCACCCAAAACCCCCCGGCCUGUUUGUUUUCCCUUCUGCGCUACCUUGAGUAGUUGGAGCACUUGAUAUAUUACAGACUCAUACAAAUGUGA